GAUUACGAAACAGACAAAUAAAAUGAAACAAUUUUAAUAAAGGACCGAAUUAUCUCAAAGAACGUGAACGAAUUCGGUUUUUUUAGACAACGUAUUCCAAACACUGUUAUAAUAUAAUCGGCCACGAUAAGGUUUUCAGAGCGAUAAAAUAUUUGGGUGUGGAAGUUACACAAUAUUAUGCCGUCUGCCUGCGUGCGGCUGCUGCUAUCGAUUGAUAUUUUGCGAAUCCGUCGAAAGUCAAACAUCGUUUUCUUUCGGCCAGAAGAGAUACAAUAUAAUUUAUAGUCACUUUAUAGUCUGUUACUGUACGUAUAUAACAAUAGAUGCAGCAGCACUACACGUCUUUAUAUCGUGUCCGGUUAUUAUUGUAUGUGUAUAGUCUUCGAAGCCUCUGGCUGACACAUAAUUAUUAUUAUUUAACCCGAAAUAUCUCGGGGGGCGUACACCAACUACAUGUAUAUAUAUAUGCUGUAUUAUAUGUUUUAUAACAUGUGUACCGCUGUAACAAUAGUAAUAAUAAUGUCGCACGGAAUACGGGACGUUUGUUUGUAUUGUUAUUAAUAAUUUUUUUUUAUUUUUUCACACUUUUUUUUAACGUUUCGGUAUACUCGCGGCCUGCUUCUUCCCGGUGAAACGCGUGAUUGGCAGAGGAGAACAUCAUAAUAUCAUGGUUAUGGUUAUACCGGCGACGGAGGUGACGGCGGUUACUGGUUGAUACCGGUUAAUGGUUACAUACUUACAUUGUAUAUAUUAUAUAUAUGUAUAUAUUAUUUCGUGUUUAUACAGUUUAGUUGUUGCUGCUGUAGACAUGAUAAUGCCGAUUGCAGCUAAUCGAUCGACCAAAACGCGGUUAAACGGUUUAACUUUCUCGGAGAGCAGUCGAAAACAUCAGUGACGGCGGUGUACACAGAUCGACGGCCGAUUUCCCGCGCGUCACCAUCCGAAUGCAAAUCCGAAUUGGAUCUAAAACAAAUUUACUCUAAUGCCAAAACUUUUCGGCAUUAUAUUAUAGACCUGAAACCGUCGAAUGUUUUACACACCACUCACGUGUGUUUCUUCUAUGGCUAUGCGAACCGGUUGUGCGUGUACAGAAAUGAAAAACAUUUUAUGAAAUACUACUGCACGGUGUUUAUAAUGUUACCGAUUCGCAAUUUGAAUGCUAAUUGACAAUGGUAUUGGGAAAAGAAAAAAAUCAAUAACAAACGCCGCACGUGAAAAUCGUCGAUAUAGAAAUAAUUCUAGGUGGUUCCAAGUCCGACGAUAAUAAUGUAAUUCACACUUAUAUUAUACUGUUGUAUACCAGUAAAAUGCGUGUACAGUUUUUUCCUUUGUUUAAAUAGUUUUCGUGAGAACUCGUGUGUAAAUAUAUACGUAUAUAAUGAAUAAUAUAAUAUACCUGUACGCGUG
This is a long non-coding RNA of Myzus persicae (green peach aphid), 1407 nucleotides long. RefSeq lists it as uncharacterized. The record is from RefSeq and is a predicted model, not a curated record. Lineage: Eukaryota; Metazoa; Arthropoda; Insecta; Hemiptera; Aphididae. The transcript has 3 exons.